This 239-nucleotide ribosomal RNA is filed under the name uncultured bacterium. RNAcentral's name for it is "partial 16S ribosomal RNA". It matches the Rfam family "Bacterial small subunit ribosomal RNA", at positions 538 to 776 of the family's 1533-position model. The record is from RNAcentral.
GCGUUGUUCGGAAUUACUGGGCGUAAAGGGCUUGUAGGUGGCCAACUAAGUCAGACGUGAAAUCCCUCGGCUUAACCGGGGAACUGCGUCUGAUACUGGAUGGCUCGAGUGUGGGAGAGGGAUGCGGAAUUCCAGGUGUAGCGGUGAAAUGCGUAGAUAUCUGGAGGAACACCGGUGGCGAAGGCGGCAUCCUGGACCAUAACUGACACUGAUAAGCGAAAGCCAGGGGAGCAAACGGG